RNAcentral lists this ribosomal RNA (253 nucleotides) under uncultured bacterium. Its description in RNAcentral is "partial 16S ribosomal RNA". It matches the Rfam family "Bacterial small subunit ribosomal RNA", at positions 524 to 776 of the family's 1533-position model. The record is from RNAcentral.
UACGAAGGGGGCUAGCGUUGUUCGGAAUUACUGGGCGUAAAGCGCGCGCAGGUGGUCUUUCAAGUCAGUGGCGAAAGCCCGGAGCUCAACUCCGGAAAUGCCAUUGAAACUGUGAGACUUGAGGACGAGAGAGGUGAGUGUAAUUCCCAGUGUAGAGGUGAAAUUCGUAGAUAUUGGGAAGAACACCGGUGGCGAAGGCGACUUUCUGGUCUGUAACUGACGCUGAGGCGCGAAAGCGUGGGGAGCAAACAGG